This 253-nucleotide ribosomal RNA is filed under the name uncultured bacterium. RNAcentral describes it as "partial 16S ribosomal RNA". It matches the Rfam family "Bacterial small subunit ribosomal RNA", at positions 524 to 776 of the family's 1533-position model. The record is from RNAcentral.
UACGGAGGGUGCAAGCGUUAUUCGGAAUUACUGGGCGUAAAGCGUGCGCAGGCGGUUGCGUAAGUCAGGUGUGAAAGCCCCGGGCUCAACCUGGGAAUUGCAUUUGAGACUGCGUAGCUAGGGUGCGGAAGAGGGAAGCGGAAUUUCCGGUGUAGCGGUGAAAUGCGUAGAUAUCGGAAGGAACACCAGUGGCGAAAGCGGCUUCCUGGUCCAGCACCGACGUUCAGGCACGAAAGCGUGGGGAGCAAACAGG